CCCUACGGGGCGCAGCAGGCGCGAAAACUCUGCAAUAGGCGAAAGCUUGACAGGGUUAUUCUGAGUGAUUUCCGCUAAGGAGAUCUUUUGGCACCUCUAAAAAUGGUGCAGAAUAAGGGGUGGGCAAGCCUGGUGUCAGCCGCCGCGGUAAUACCAGCACCCCGAGUGGUCGGGACGAUUAUUGGGCCUAAAGCAUCCGUAGCCGGUUCUACAAGUCUUCCGUUAAAUCCACCUGCUUAACAGUUGGGCUGCAGAGGAUACUAUAGAGCUAGGAGGCGGGAGAGGCAAGCGGUACUUAGUGGGUAGGGGUGAAAUCCUGUAAUCC
Molecule: ribosomal RNA, 325 nt
Filed under: uncultured archaeon
Lineage: Archaea
Description: bacterial SSU rRNA
Rfam family: Archaeal small subunit ribosomal RNA
Source: RNAcentral